This is a long non-coding RNA of Chiroxiphia lanceolata (lance-tailed manakin), 1539 nucleotides long. RefSeq lists it as uncharacterized. The record is from RefSeq and is a predicted model, not a curated record. Lineage: Eukaryota; Metazoa; Chordata; Aves; Passeriformes; Pipridae. The transcript is spliced from 4 exons.
CAAGUGAAAACAGUGGAUUGAGGUUUUAUUUCCAAACCCCAAACUCCAAAUGAAAACAGUGGGUUUAGGUUUUAUUUUCCAACCCCAAAACCCUGAAUGAAAACAGGGGUUUGCAGAUCAAACCCCAAAGCUCUAAAUAAAAACAGGGGUUUGUAGGUUUUAUUUCCAAACCCCAAACUCUGAAUACAAACAGUGGAUUUAGGUUUUAUUUCCAAACCCAAAACUCUGAAUGGAAACAGUGGGUUUAGGUUUUAUUUCCAACCCCAAAACUCCAAACAAUGACAGUGGAUUUAGGUUUUAUUUCCAACCCCAAAACUCUAAAUGAAAACAGGGGUUUGCAGAUCAAACCCCAAAGCUCUAAAUAAAAACAGGGGUUUGCAGGUUUUAUUUCCAAACCCCAAAACUCCAAAUAAUAACAGUGGGUUUAGGUUUUAUUUCCAAACCCCAAACUCUAAAUGCAAACAGUGGAUUUAGGUUUUAUUUCCAAACCCCAAACUCUGAAUACAAACAGUGGAUUUAGGUUUUAUUUCCAAACCCCAAACUCCAAAUAAUAACAGUGGGUUUAGGUUUUAUUUCCAACCCCAAGCCCCAAAUGCAAACAGGGGUUUGCAGAUCAAACCCCAAAACCCUCUGUGAAACCCCUCAUUUGCAGGUCUUACUUUCAAGCCCCAAACCCUAAAUACAAACCUCUAACUCCAAAAAAAAAAAAAAGGAGGUUUUAGAUCUUAUUUUUAUUAGAACAAGAACUUUUAGGACUUAUUUUUAUUAGAACAGCAACUUUUAGAUCUGAUUUUUAUUAGAACAAAAACUUUUAGGUCUCAUUUUUAUCAGAAUAACAACUUUUAGGUCUUAUUUUUCUCAGAAGAACAAGUUUUAGGGCUUAUUUUUAUUAGAACAACAACUUUUAGGUCUCUUUUUUAUUAGAACAACAACUUUUAGGUCUCUUUUUUAUUAGAACAAGAACUUUUAGGUCUGAUUUUUAUUAGAACAAAAACUUUUAGGGCUUAUUUUUAUCAGAACAAGAACUUUUAGGGCUUAUUUUUAUUAGAAUAAGAAUUUUUAGGUCUUAUUUUUGUUAGAACAGCAGCUUUUAUGUCUCAUUUUUAUCAGAACAACAACUUUUAGGUCUCAUUUUUUAUCAGAACAACAACUUUUAGGUCUCAUUUUUUAUCAGAACAACAACUUUUAGGUCUGAUUUUUAUUAGAACAACAACUUUCAGGGCUUAUUUUUAUUAGAACAACAACUUUUAGGUCUCAUUUUUAUCAGAAUAUCAAGUUUUAGGUCUUAUUUUUAUCAGAAUAACAAGUUUUAGGGCUUAUUUUUAUUAGAACAACAACUUUUGGGUCUUAUUUUUGUCAGAAUAACAACUUUUAGGGCUUAUUUUUAUCAGAACAAGAACUUUUAGGUCUCAUUUUUAUCAGAACAAGAACUUUUAGGUCCUGUUUUUAAUAGAACAAGAACUUUUAGGUCUCAGUUUUUGUAGAACAACAACUUUUAGGUCUCAUUAGAACAACUUUUAGGUCUCGUUUUUAUCAGAA